UUUGAUCAAGGUUGGAUCAUGGAUUCAUCAUUUAAUCAGGAGUUGGAAAAGUUACUAAAUUUAGAAAUAGUUGACUUUCCAUUUAAGGCAAGUUUUUAUGGUUGUUGCAUCCAUUUUAAGCCCAUUUACCACCAAGAUGCAAGCUCCAUUUGAAAAUUUCCCCAACAUGAAAGUUGUUCCUCUUGUUCCAAGCUUUCUAGAGAUAUAAAGUUUGUUCCAUUUGGAUUAAAAUUGAGAAAGUUAUGCUUGGUCAAAGUGAGACAUUAUUUUAGAACACUU
This 279-nucleotide long non-coding RNA is filed under the name Lathyrus oleraceus (garden pea). RNAcentral describes it as "Pisum sativum (pea) long non-coding RNA (PSAT_LNC035117)". The record is from RNAcentral. Lineage: Eukaryota; Viridiplantae; Streptophyta; Magnoliopsida; Fabales; Fabaceae.